Long non-coding RNA from Humulus lupulus (European hop), 1225 nucleotides. RefSeq lists it as uncharacterized. Lineage: Eukaryota; Viridiplantae; Streptophyta; Magnoliopsida; Rosales; Cannabaceae. The record is from RefSeq and is a predicted model, not a curated record. The transcript is spliced from 4 exons.
CCCAUUCAUUUCCCUCAAACCUAAAUCUAACAUUUUCCCUCACGUUCUCCCACCGCUCACUCUUUUUCCCUCUCCCUCACGGCACUAUCACUCUCACUCUUGCAGGUGGAUUGAUGGGGAGGUCGGAGGGGCGUAGUGAUGGCUCGGCGACACGACGACGGGCUACAGCGGGGAGGCUCCGCAACGUGAUGAACGUCUGCUUAGAGGCUCGGUGACUGGACGAUGGGCUUCUACAAACGAUAGCAACGACUUUGACGACGAUGGCAUUGGAUUAGACGACAACAAAAACUUCGACGAAGGGCAUGAACGCACCAAGGUUUUGUUUUUCUGUUUUCUUCUGAUUUUAAUUUGUUUCUUUGUAGAUUUGUUCAAGUUCGGUUUCAAUGCAGACAAAAAAGGUUGUUAAUGAACUUUUCUUUGAGGUAAACCUGGACAAGUAUCUAAUAAUUUGCAAUCUUUAAAGAGCUCUACCACGAACGAUGAUGAAGAUUGGCCUCGAUUAUCUCAAUUGCAUGCAAGAAGCAGGUGACUACUAUAUAAUAGGCAGGUGACUACAAAACAAUUGGAUUGUUUAUUCCUUUCUAAGUUAGUAGGCAAGGGAAUGUAUGCUCUUAAAAAGAAAGAAAAAUGAAGACAAUAUGACAUUUUCAAGAAAGCAUGACAAAGAGUUGGCAUUUAUAAAAAGCGUCAUUUGGGCCCAAGCCCAACAGCUCCUCCAACAAUCUCCUCUCCAGUUGGCCUAUCCAUCAGCUGCAUAAAUUAAGUGCUACCAGCACCUCACAAUUCAGCAAUUCCCAGCUCCUUCAGCAAAUCACGCCACCUGUCCCAUUCUCCUCAACACUCAGCAUCCCCAACGCCUGGCUCUUCAUCAACAAACCAGCCAUUACAUGAUGCACCACAUCACCCAGCGGCCCAUGGCCCAACAUUCAUUCAGCUGUUGCCAGCCCACCCGUCGUGGCCCAAUUUCCCUCCAAGGCCCAACGCUCCCAUGCCAAGACAACCAAGCUGCCAAAAGGCCAAAAACCACAUUUUUAUUCCCAAUAUUUUUUUUACCUAAAUAAACAUUCUUAAUUCAUUUUUUUUACCCUACCUUUUCACUAAUAUUUUACCUAACCAAACAUUUCAUCUUUCCAAUACUCUUAUACAUACUUUAUUUAUUCUACCACUUCCCAACACAAUUAAAUUAAUCUAUUUAUUUAUUUUAAUUUGAUUAAUUUAAUCUCUA